UACAGAGGUCCCAAGCGUUGUUCGGAAUUAUUGGGCGUAAAGGGUGCGUAGGCGGUCGGGUAAGUCUGAUGUGAAAUCUCACAGCUUAACUGUGAAACUGCAUUGGAUACUAUCCGGCUCGAGGAAUGGAGGGGAGACUGGAAUACUUGGUGUAGCAGUGAAAUGCGUAGAUAUGUGGAGGAACACCGAUGGCGAAGGCAGCCCCCUGGGUCAAAACUGACGCUCAUGCACGAAAGCGUGGGGAGCAAACAGG
RNAcentral lists this ribosomal RNA (253 nucleotides) under uncultured bacterium. RNAcentral describes it as "partial 16S ribosomal RNA". It matches the Rfam family "Bacterial small subunit ribosomal RNA", at positions 524 to 776 of the family's 1533-position model. The record is from RNAcentral.